GUCCUUUAGAUUUAAAUUAAAGGUCUAACCUGCCCACUGAAAAAGUUUAAAUGGCCGCAGUAAAUUGACUGUGCAAAGGUAGCAUAAUCAAUAGUUUUUUAAUUAAAAGCUUGUAUGAAUGGUUGGACGAGAUAAAAUCUGUCUUUAAUUAAAAAGUAGAAUUUAAUUUUUAAGUUAAAAAGCUUAAAUUUUAUUAAAAGACGAGAAGACCCUAUAGAUCUUUAUAAUAAAUUAUUUAUUUUUAUUAAGGAUUAUUUAGUUAUUUUAUUUUAUUUAUUAUUUUAUUGGGGUAAUAUUAAGAUUGAAUUAAUUCUUUUUUGAAAAAACAUUUAUUUUUGAUUAAUUGAUCCAUUAUUAGUGAUUAUAAGAUUAAGUUACCUUAGGGAUAACAGCGUAAUUUUUUUAGAGAGUUCUUAUCGAUAAAAAAGUUUGCGACCUCGAUGUUGGAUUAAAAGUUAUUCUAGGUGUAGUAGUUUAGAAAUUUGGUCUGUUCGACCAUUAAACUUUUACA
This 511-nucleotide ribosomal RNA is filed under the name Stictonectes optatus. RNAcentral describes it as "partial 16S ribosomal RNA". The stretch from base 385 to 511 matches the Rfam family "Bacterial large subunit ribosomal RNA", at positions 2473 to 2600 of the family's 2925-position model. Lineage: Eukaryota; Metazoa; Arthropoda; Insecta; Coleoptera; Dytiscidae. The record is from RNAcentral.